This is a non-coding RNA of Pelobates cultripes (western spadefoot toad), 325 nucleotides long. Lineage: Eukaryota; Metazoa; Chordata; Amphibia; Anura; Pelobatidae. The record is from the annotation of a GenBank genome assembly.
CUCAAGGCGGGUACAGAAGCCAUGUUUCCCAGACGCAAGCUCCCACUCGCAGCUACACAACAGCAAGACCCCCUUACAAGCGACACCUGCAAAGCACUCACCAACCCAACCUCUCAGUGCCUGGCGCAGCACACCGCGACCUCCCGCCACCAGCGCUGCAAAUCGAGAGACCAAACAAAAGCGUACCCCUCAGCACACCAUCAAAGCUGGAUCCAGAUAUGGAGGCACCUUGCCCAGAGUUUCCAAGAGAGACACUUGUAGAAGCGGCGGCCGGGACCUCCCGACAUUGGGCAUAGGCUGAAAGCCCCAACGUAAAGCCCUACAA